Acyrthosiphon pisum (pea aphid) is the source of this 57-nucleotide non-coding RNA. Lineage: Eukaryota; Metazoa; Arthropoda; Insecta; Hemiptera; Aphididae. The record is from Rfam.
GUUCUUACAAUGUGCUGUUAAGUGUCGGUUAACUUUAACCGGAUAUUGUAAGAACGG